Molecule: unclassified non-coding RNA, 456 nt
Filed under: Hevea brasiliensis (rubber tree)
Lineage: Eukaryota; Viridiplantae; Streptophyta; Magnoliopsida; Malpighiales; Euphorbiaceae
Source: RNAcentral
GGAAAACAAAAGCUACUCCUCGCAUCUACUAUUUACCUUUAUCAGAUGAACAGGUGCAGGUAAAACACACAGCAGCAGCAAGGGGAAAAGACACAAAGCAGUAAGUUGAGACAAUGCCAGCGAUUAGGUGUUGUAUCCUGGCUGCUGCUUGUUGUGCUUGUGCCCUGUGGAUUCCGUAGUGAGUUUAGAUUUUGCAAAGGUAAAAAAGGCAUAGAGUGGCAUGUUUGAAUGUUGUCUUGGGUGCUGCUAGCAGGGAGGAAUUUAUCUCUGUUGAGCUGGAAAAUGGAGGGUUUUGGAAUAGAAAUCCGAUUGGGGUAGUUUUUUUCUUGCAUAUUAAGUAGGAUAUUGAGAUUGACUUCUAAAAAAAGGAUUACUUUGUAUUUGGUUAUGUAAUCAUGUUUUCCUGUCGGAACAAAAGAACCUACGAUGAGUUAGAUUUGUAGUAUCAUAUGAUGC